RNAcentral lists this ribosomal RNA (253 nucleotides) under uncultured bacterium. RNAcentral describes it as "partial 16S ribosomal RNA". It matches the Rfam family "Bacterial small subunit ribosomal RNA", at positions 524 to 776 of the family's 1533-position model. The record is from RNAcentral.
UACGGAGGAUCCAAGCGUUAUUCGGAAUUAUUGGGCGUAAAGGGCGCGUAGGCGGCUUGGCAAGUGGAUGGUGAAAUCCCUCGGCUUAACCGAGGAACUGCCGUCCAAACUGCUUCGCUUGAGACCGGGAGAGGUGAGUGGAAUUCCCAGUGUAGCGGUGAAAUGCGUAGAUAUUGGGAGGAACACCAGUGGCGAAGGCGGCUCACUGGACCGGUACUGACGCUGAUGCGCGAAAGCGUGGGGAGCAAACGGG